GGAUUCCCCUAGUAACGGCGAGUGAACCGGGAAGAGCUCAAAUUUGAAAUCUGGCGUCCUCAGGGCGUCCGAGUUGUAAUCUAUAGAGGCGUUUUCCGUGCCGGACCGUGUCCAAGUUCCUUGGAACAGGAUAUCAAAGAGGGUGACAAUCCCGUACUUGACACGACGACCGGUGCUCUGUGAUACGUCUUCUACGAGUCGAGUUGUUUGGGAAUGCAGCUCAAAAUGGGUGGUGAGUUCCAUCUAAAGCUAAAUAUUGGCGAGAGACCGAUAGCGAACAAGUACCGUGAGGGAAAGAUGAAAAGCACUUUGGAAAGAGAGUUAAACAGUACGUGAAAUUGUUGAAAGGGAAACGAUUGAAGUCAGUCGUGACCGAGAGGCUCAGCCGGUUCUGCCGGUGUAUUCCCCUCGGUCGGGUCAACAUCAGUUUUGUCCGGUGGAUAAGGGCGGUAGGAAGGUGGCACCCUCGGGUGUGUUAUAGCCUGCCGUCGCAUACAUCGGGUGAGACUGAGGAACGCAGCUCGCCUUUAUGGCCGGGGUUCGCCCACGUCCG
This 553-nucleotide ribosomal RNA is filed under the name Papiliotrema cf. laurentii HMD-2015. RNAcentral describes it as "eukaryotic LSU rRNA". It matches the Rfam family "Eukaryotic large subunit ribosomal RNA", at positions 72 to 611 of the family's 3401-position model. Lineage: Eukaryota; Fungi; Basidiomycota; Tremellomycetes; Tremellales; Rhynchogastremaceae. The record is from RNAcentral.